This is a long non-coding RNA of Quercus robur (English oak), 1138 nucleotides long. RefSeq lists it as uncharacterized. The record is from RefSeq and is a predicted model, not a curated record. The transcript is spliced from 3 exons. NCBI's taxonomy places the organism in Eukaryota, Viridiplantae, Streptophyta, Magnoliopsida, Fagales, Fagaceae.
AAACCCUAGCCUUUUCCUCUUAAGUCACACUUGUUUUUGCUGAUGAGAUUUCUUUUGCUUCAGCCGACUAUUGAAUGUUGAUUUUUCUUCACUGUGGCUGUGAGUGGAGACUUCAGGUUCUAAUUCUACUGAAUUGUUGUGAUUCAAGGGAGGUUGAUUUCUUUUAUUUUUGCAACUAAGAGAUACAUUAGAGAGAUUUCUGGAGUAGAGAUUCUUGAGAGACAGAAGUUAUGAACUAUUUUUGUUGGACUGAGAAUUUUAUUAUUAUUUUAUGGCAUUAAACAUUGUAUUGGAGAAUUAUUUUGAGGAUGUUUUGUAUUUGGUGAAUUAGAGCCCUGACUCUUGUGAUGAGACUCAAGGUUGCUAGUUUCUUUUAUUUAAUAUUUUUUUAUGGAUUAUUCAGAUUGAUUAGACUUUUAAUGCUUAUGAUUUUGGGGCGUUACACCAAAUCCAUCACAAAAAGAAAUUCAAGGCUAACUCUACCAUUUCCAAGGCUUGUCAUGUCUCUUAUCACAAGGGCAAGGGUGAAGAUUCCUAGUGGACUUCAAGUGAGGCAAAGAGAAGAUCCAAUAAGUGCGCAAACCAUGAUCCAAAGCAAAGCUCAUAUCCUGAGACCAACUGUGGGUGUCUCUCAAAUUCCAAGAGAUGAUGCAGCUGAAGAAGGAGGAGACACCGAAGAGGAAAUUGAGCAUUUUACUUUAGUUCCAAAGGACACUAGCUCCCAAUCGCCUUAAUCAUCUACUCGGAAGGAUUGAAGACAUGCAUGUUAUGCUAUCUUCUCACAUCAGCUACUCCACAUCUCAAUUCACCUACCUUGAAGGACAGAUCACUGCCCUCUCGUCUCAAAUUGAUGACAUGAUGAGAAACUUGAGGCAAGAGCCGGCAUCAGAUUCGGAGUCCGAUACAUUUUAGUCUCUUUGGCCAUUCCAGUAAAAAAAAGGGAGUAGUUUGAGGGGGAGUACAGCUUAAGGGGGAGUAGCAAAGGAACUUUUUAGUAUACAUUGGCUUAUUUUGGUGGUUUCCAGUUUACUUUAAGUUUUUAUAGCUUUUGGGUAUUUACAAUGCUUUCAUUUAAAGCUUUGAAGUACUUUAGUUUAAAACUUAAUUUUUCUUUAGUACUAUUGUGUAUCUUGGUUUU